Molecule: ribosomal RNA, 872 nt
Filed under: uncultured bacterium
Lineage: Bacteria
Description: bacterial SSU rRNA
Rfam family: Bacterial small subunit ribosomal RNA
Source: RNAcentral
GAACGCUAGCGGCAGGCCUAAUACAUGCAAGUCGAACGGGAUCCAAUUUUUAGCUUGCUAAAGAUUGGUGAGAGUGGCGCACGGGUGCGUAACGCGUGAGCAACCUACCCAUAUCAGGGGGAUAGCCCGAAGAAAUUCGGAUUAACACCGCAUAAGACUACGAGAUGGCAUCAUCAAGUAGUUAAAUAUUUAUAGGAUAUGGAUGGGCUCGCGUGACAUUAGCUAGUUGGUGAGGUAACGGCUCACCAAGGCGACGAUGUCUAGGGGCUCUGAGAGGAGAAUCCCCCACACUGGUACUGAGACACGGACCAGACUCCUACGGGAGGCAGCAGUAAGGAAUAUUGGUCAAUGGACGGAAGUCUGAACCAGCCAUGCCGCGUGCAGGAUGACUGCCCUAUGGGUUGUAAACUGCUUUUGUCGAGGAAUAAACCUAUCUACGUGUAGAUAGCUGAAUGUACUCGAAGAAUAAGGAUCGGCUAACUCCGUGCCAGCAGCCGCGGUAAUACGGAGGAUCCGAGCGUUAUCCGGAUUUAUUGGGUUUAAAGGGUGCGUAGGCGGCACUUUAAGUCAGGGGUGAAAGACGGCAGCUUAACUGUCGCAGUGCCUUUGAUACUGAAGUGCUUGAAUGCGGUUGAAGACGGCGGAAUGAGACAAGUAGCGGUGAAAUGCAUAGAUAUGUCUCAGAACACCGAUUGCGAAGGCAGCUGUCUAAGCCGUUAUUGACGCUGAUGCACGAAAGCGUGGGGAUCGAACAGGAUUAGAUACCCUGGUAGUCCACGCCCUAAACGAUGAUAACUCGAUGUUUGCGAUAUACCGUAAGCGUCCAAGCGAAAGCGUUAAGUUAUCCACCUGGGGAGUACGCCCGCAAGGGG